Molecule: ribosomal RNA, 364 nt
Filed under: uncultured bacterium
Lineage: Bacteria
Description: bacterial SSU rRNA
Rfam family: Bacterial small subunit ribosomal RNA
Source: RNAcentral
GACGAACGCUGGCGGCGUGCCUAACACAUGCAAGUCAACUUGAAGGAAGGAGCAAUCUGACCUGAUGGUGCGCAAAGGGUGCGUAACGCGUAAGUAACUUGCCCAAGGUAAGGAAUAACGUCGAGAAAUCGGCGCUAAUACCUCAUAAUGCAGCGGAUCCGCAUGGAUAUGUUGUUAAAGGUUUACCGCCUUGGGAUAGGCUUGCGUCUGAUUAGCUAGUUGGUGUGGUAAAUGGCACACCAAGGCUACGAUCAGUAACUGGUCUGAGAGGAUGAUCAGUCACACUGGAACUGAGACACGGUCCAGACUCCUACGGGAGGCAGCAGUGAGGAAUAUUGGGCAAUGCACGAAAGUGUGACCCAGC